CUUUAGUCUAGUUACCGGAGAGAUAUUAAAAGGAAAAGGAGGGAAAGACCACAAACAACUGGGAAACUAUUUUUGGCCUUCUUCAACCAUGAGAACCAGCCACCGAACAGGAAGAAAGAAAGCACCAUCACAAGGCAAGAAGGAACGUAGUCCACUUAGCUAAGAAUCGGGGAGAGAGAUUAGAAUCUUGUUUUCCUAACUUAGAGCCAUAAGAACCAGAGGUAAACUAUAGCCUUUCUUUCCAUUUCUUUUGCAUUUAGCUAGUAGUCUCUUAGGCUGAGUUAGAACCAAGUAAAGAAGGAAACUUUCUAGAAAGCAAAGAUCAACAAAGCUGGAAAUGUUCGUUUGAAGUUGUUAUCCGAUAUUUGAUGAGCUAAGCUGUAAUUUUCUGGUUGUUUCUUAUGUUGCAUAUCUUAUAUACACUCUCUAGCCAUAUAUCUUGACAUACAUACAGAUUAUAUCUUCAAAUAAAACCUGUUAAGAUGAAAUUAUGAUGAACUGCUGGCUGGAAUUCUUGAUACAAUGAAGGAUGAUUGCCGAUGGGGUAAAGUUGGAAAGAAUUUCGGUUUCUGGCCAAAUGUUUUGUUGAAACUGGUUAGGACUUGUUUGGUGCACCAUCGGUGACCUUAAUCUGAUCAUGCAUGUAAUGUUUGAAGUGCUAAAACCAAGAAAAAAAUGAGUUCUGGCCUAGGAAAAUUCUGUUCAAUGACUAAUUAGUUGUUGGAGAAAUUCUGUGACAGCCGAGAGAGUACGGAACUGGACUUGCAGCAUGUAAUCUGAAUUUUCUUUGGAGAAUUAUGCUAGGAAUGUAUGAAAUAUGUUUAUCUCUGAUCUUAUAGGAUAUUUAUCUCCAAAACUAGUAAAAACAUUGAUAAACUUGGCUGGAAAUGUCAAUGAAACCUGCUGGAACCUGUUGGGAUGGUCGAAAGAGAGAAAUGGUGAAAUUUUCCAGUUUUCUCCAUGGAUUUUGGGGUUGUAAAUUGCAUAUUGUUGUUGUUCACACCUUAUAAUAAUUUAAUAUUGACAUGCAUGUAACACUUGAAAGUUUAAAAGUAAGAAAAGAUGAACUUUAGAGCAGGAACAAAUCUGGAACAUUAAGACAGCAAACUAGGAGGAAAGAAGAACGCUGCAACUUUGGUUAUUUUCUUGGAAAUUUUGCUUGAUCAUAACUGAAAUCCAUGCUUUAUGCCUUGUCUAAUGUUUUUAGAGUGAUGCAUGUAAGAUUUAGAGCUAGUUUGUGUUUGUUUUAUAGCUGGUUUACUUGCUGGAAUUGCUCCAACUUGGCCAAGAGAAAAGGAGUUUGGUUUUCCAACUUAUAUCAGAAUUUUUAGUAAUUUGACCUGCACAAAUCCUGUUGUGUGCUCAUUCUUUGGUGUAUGUAUUUCGUAACAUAUGUUCUGUUUUUGGUUCUAGCGAAAGUUGGUUGUUUAAGAGUGAAAACUUAAGGAACAUUGCUAGAAUUUUUUUUUAAUGAGGGCCGAGAAGAGGGAGAGCAAGGGAAAUUUCAGCUUUAACUCCCUAAUGUUGGUUACUAAUAAGUAUAUCCUUGCUUCAUAUAUCUCUUAACAUCUAAAACUAGACAUGCAUGAGGUACGCGUUGAGUUUUAAUUUAGAAAAGACUAAUUUAGGAGGAAACGGAAGAAGUGAACCUGGACAAUUAUUCUACCUUUAAGACUAAAUCUUAACCUUAAUUAAUUUUGGUUUUAACUUGAGUUGCUCGAUAGAUUUUAUACAAUAUUAUUGUGCUUAAACUUAGCCAAAUUAUACUAAAGUGAAUGAUAUAUGUACUUGGGUAUCUUCUAAUGAUUAAACUUGGUAUAACCAACUUAGAAUCGGGAUUGGGGAUGAAAGUAACUGCACUUAGUGACUAUUCCUAGAAUUAUACCAUAAUCAUAGUACUUGAAAUUUGUCUCAGGAACUACUAGUGGGCGUGAAAGCAAUCUCGAGACUGAAGUGCAACUUGUUUGACUAAGUAAGUGCUUUCACAUUGUGUGUUUAAAUUGCCUAUGUAUUACUUAAAUGAUGUUUAUAUGAUUAUACUAGUGCUUUAUUAUGAAAUGUUUUCAAUUGUCCCUCGCCUUCUAAGUCGGGAGUGUACUUUAUCGCAUUCGACUUAGUUUGAGCUUGAGCUCGAAGGUUGAUAAUUGAUCAAGUGUUAUUGUAAGUGUGCAUGACUGUAAGCCGUGUGUGUACUUUACCACACCGGCUGAACUGGGCCCCAAAACCCUUUGUUCAAAGGACUAUUCGAGCUAGCAAAAGGGUUUGGUCGGAUAGGGUGGUAGCUUUGGGUAACUACAUUGGUAUGCUCGAGUAUUACCACGGAGUAGCAUAUUACUGAUAUUGAUAUGACCAUCUAAGUGAGGGAAGUGUUUAUUAUUUUGGAGGUUAUAAGGAGGACUUCGGUGGAGUGUGUAGUGCAUUGAAGUGGCUCUAAUGCGAGCACCGUAUCCUUUUAAAAGUGAUUGUUCAGUGAAGUGUUCUCUAAUUCAUUCAGUGAAGUGUUUCCUUAAUUGUUUAAUUUUGCUACUUGUUUAAGUGUUUAAUUGAUUGCUGCUUGUGUGGAACCUCACUGAGGUUUAGCUCAACCUUUUAGCUUUGUUUUCCUUAUAGGAGUUAGAGAUUGAAGAGUGAUUGGAUUGAAUUAGAAAGUUAUUUUGGGAAAAUCCGUUACUGUGCGUAUAUAUUGUAGUCAUGGUUUCUUUUGUAUUUUGAGACGGUUGAAUCUUUUGUUUUGAGUAGGUGUGAUAUUAAGAAUGGAUGUUUAGAACAUGUAUUUUGUUUCUUUUAUUGGACAAACUUAUGUUUUAAGCUAAUUGGAGUUGUACUUAAGAGUGAAUGUUCAGUUGUUCAAUGGUUAUAUUAUCUCUGAAGUUAAUGUAAGAUAUGCAAGAUUAAAGAGGGUUUAUCAAAUGUUAUCUUUGAAGAAUGAGUCCUGGCGAGAGCCAGGCGGGCGGUCCGCUAACUUCUAGGGUAUGCCCUAAGAGAAGGUAGGGCCGUCACACCAUGAACAGUUGUCUCUGAUUGAUAAAAAGUGAUUGAAUGCUGUUUAUUAUGGACAAUGUUACUACAAGCGAAUAGCUUAUACUUAUAACAAGAAAGUCGAACCUCACCUAUUCGAAGUAGGAUACAAGAUCUUGAAGCGAAUUCUUCUAGUUUAGGAGGAGGUUAAAGGGAAAUUCGCUCUAAAUUGGCAAUGACCCUUCAUUGUUAAGAAGGUGUUGACCAGCGGGCACUUAUUCUUAUGAAAAUGGUGGGCAAGUUUUUCCUCAACAAAUCAAUUUAG
RNAcentral lists this long non-coding RNA (3283 nucleotides) under Coffea arabica (coffee). RNAcentral's name for it is "long non-coding RNA (CARA_LNC001845)". Lineage: Eukaryota; Viridiplantae; Streptophyta; Magnoliopsida; Gentianales; Rubiaceae. The record is from RNAcentral.